GGGUGUCUAGUAUAGUGGUCAGUACACUUCGUUGUGGUUUACACAGUUUCCGAAGAAACCCAGGUUCGAUUCCUGGGACGCCCA
RNAcentral lists this transfer RNA (84 nucleotides) under Echria macrotheca. Its description in RNAcentral is "tRNA-His". It matches the Rfam family "tRNA". Rfam says of the family: Transfer RNA (tRNA) molecules are approximately 80 nucleotides in length. Lineage: Eukaryota; Fungi; Ascomycota; Sordariomycetes; Sordariales; Schizotheciaceae. The record is from RNAcentral.